CGAGCGAGAAAGGGGAGCAAUCCCCUGAGUAAAGUGGCGUACGGGUGAGUAACACGUGGAUAAUCUGCCCUUUAGUGGGGAAUACCGUUGGGAAACCGACGACAAUACCGCAUAAGCUCGAGAGAGGAAAGCAGCAAUGCGCUGAAGGAGGAGUCCGCGGCCGAUUAGCUAGUUGGUAGGGUAAUGGCCUACCAAGGCUGUGAUCGGUAGCCGGCCUGAGAGGGCACACGGCCACACUGGCACUGAAACACGGGCCAGACUCCUACGGGAGGCAGCAGUGGGGAAUCUUGCACAAUGGGGGAAACCCUGAUGCAGCGACGCCGCGUGAGCGAUGAAGCCCUUCGGGGUGUAAAGCUCUUUCGGCAGGGAAGAUAAUGACGGUACCUGCAGAAGCAGCUGCGGCUAACUACGUGCCAGCAGCCGCGGUAAUACGUAGGCAGCAAGCGUUGUUCGGAGUUACUGGGCGUAAAGGGUGCGUAGGCGGCUCUAUAAGUAUGGUGUGAAAUCUCCCGGCUUAACUGGGAGGGUGCGCUAUAGACUGUGGGGCUAGAGUGUGGGAGAGGAAAGUGGAAUUCCUGGUGUAGCGGUGAAAUGCGUAGAUAUCAGGAGGAACACCGGUGGUGUAAACGGCUUUCUGGACCAUAACUGACGCUGAGGCACGAAAGCGUGGGUAGCAAACAGGAUUAGAUACCCUGGUAGUCCACGCCCUAAACGAUGCAUAUUUGGGUGUGGGUCA
Molecule: ribosomal RNA, 736 nt
Filed under: uncultured bacterium
Lineage: Bacteria
Description: bacterial SSU rRNA
Rfam family: Bacterial small subunit ribosomal RNA
Source: RNAcentral